GUGGGGAAUAUUGGACAAUGGGCGCAAGCCUGAUCCAGCCAUACCGCGUGGGUGAAGAAGGCCUUCGGGUUGUAAAGCCCUUUUGUUGGGAAAGAAAUCCUGUCGGUUAAUACCUGGUGGGGAUGACGGUACCCAAAGAAUAAGCACCGGCUAACUUCGUGCCAGCAGCCGCGGUAAUACGAAGGGUGCAAGCGUUACUCGGAAUUACUGGGCGUAAAGCGUGCGUAGGUGGUGGUUUAAGUCCGUUGUGAAAGCCCUGGGCUCAACCUGGGAAUUGCAGUGGAUACUGGAUCACUAGAGUGUGGUAGAGGGAUGCGGAAUUUCUGGUGUAGCAGUGAAAUGCGUAGAGAUCAGAAGGAACAUCCGUGGCGAAGGCGGCAUCCUGGGCCAACACUGACACUGAGGCACGAAAGCGUGGGGAGCAAACAGGAUUAGAAACCCGAGUAGUCC
RNAcentral lists this ribosomal RNA (450 nucleotides) under uncultured bacterium. RNAcentral describes it as "partial 16S ribosomal RNA". It matches the Rfam family "Bacterial small subunit ribosomal RNA", at positions 354 to 796 of the family's 1533-position model. The record is from RNAcentral.